RNAcentral lists this non-coding RNA (27 nucleotides) under Homo sapiens (human). The record is from RNAcentral. Lineage: Eukaryota; Metazoa; Chordata; Mammalia; Primates; Hominidae.
UGCCCUGAGUACAGUGUUGCAAUAUGC